AUUGAACGCUGGCGGCAGGCCUAACACAUGCAAGUCGAGCGGAUGAAGGGAGCUUGCUCCUGGAUUCAGCGGCGGACGGGUGAGUAAUGCCUAGGAAUCUGCCUGGUAGUGGGGGAUAACGUCCGGAAACGGGCGCUAAUACCGCAUACGUCCUGAGGGAGAAAGUGGGGGAGCUUCGGACCUCACGCUAUCAGAUGAGCCUAGGUCGGAUUAGCUAGUUGGUGGGGUAAAGGCCUACCAAGGCGACGAUCCGUAACUGGUCUGAGAGGAUGAUCAGUCACACUGGAACUGAGACACGGUCCAGACUCCUAGGGGAGGCAGCGGUGGGGAAUAUUGGACGAUGGGCGAAAACCUGAUCCAGCCGUGCCGCGUGUGUGCAGAGGGUCUGCGGACUGGAAAGCACUUUAAGUUGGGAGGAAGGGCAGUAAGUUAAUACCUUGCUGGUGUGACGUUAGUAACAGAAUAAGCACCGGCUAACUUCGUG
Molecule: ribosomal RNA, 484 nt
Filed under: uncultured bacterium
Lineage: Bacteria
Description: partial 16S ribosomal RNA
Rfam family: Bacterial small subunit ribosomal RNA
Source: RNAcentral